GUUUGAUCCUGGCUCAGAACGAACGCUGGCGGCAGGCCUAACACAUGCAAGUCGAGCGCGCCCUUCGGGGUGAGCGGCGGACGGGUUAGUAACGCGUGGGAACGUGCCCAGAUCUAAGGAAUAGCCACUGGAAACGGUGAGUAAUACCUUAUACGCCCUUCGGGGGAAAGAUUUAUCGGAUUUGGAUCGGCCCGCGUUAGAUUAGGUAGUUGGUGGGGUAAUGGCCUACCAAGCCUACGAUCUAUAGCUGGUUUUAGAGGAUGAUCAGCAACACUGGGACUGAGACACGGCCCAGACUCCUACGGGAGGCAGCAGUGGGGAAUCUUGGACAAUGGGGGGCAACCCUGAUCCAGCCAUGCCGCGUGAGUGAUGAAGGCCUUAGGGUCGUAAAGCUCUUUCGCCUGUGAUGAUAAUGACAGUAGCAGGUAAAGAAACCCCGGCUAACUCCGUG
This 451-nucleotide ribosomal RNA is filed under the name uncultured Ruegeria sp. RNAcentral's name for it is "bacterial SSU rRNA". It matches the Rfam family "Bacterial small subunit ribosomal RNA", at positions 11 to 507 of the family's 1533-position model. Lineage: Bacteria; Pseudomonadati; Pseudomonadota; Alphaproteobacteria; Rhodobacterales; Roseobacteraceae. The record is from RNAcentral.